RNAcentral lists this ribosomal RNA (913 nucleotides) under Nigrospora zimmermanii. Its description in RNAcentral is "partial large subunit ribosomal RNA". It matches the Rfam family "Eukaryotic large subunit ribosomal RNA", at positions 33 to 973 of the family's 3401-position model. Lineage: Eukaryota; Fungi; Ascomycota; Sordariomycetes; Amphisphaeriales; Apiosporaceae. The record is from RNAcentral.
CUUAAGCAUAUCAAUAAGCGGAGGAAAAGAAACCAACAGGGAUUCCCCUAGUAACGGCGAGUGAAGCGGGAACAGCUCAAAUUUGAAAUCUGGCCCUCGGGUCCGAGUUGUAAUUUGUAGAGGAUGCUUUUGGUGCGGUGCCUUCCGAGUUCCCUGGAACGGGACGCCUUAGAGGGUGAGAGCCCCGUACGGUUGGACGCCUAGCCUCUGUAAAGCUCCUUCGACGAGUCGAGUAGUUUGGGAAUGCUGCUCUAAAUGGGAGGUAUAUUUCUUCUAAAGCUAAAUACUGGCCAGAGACCGAUAGCGCACAAGUAGAGUGAUCGAAAGAUGAAAAGCACUUUGAAAAGAGGGUUAAAUAGCACGUGAAAUUGUUGAAAGGGAAGCGUUUAUCACCAGACUUUUUCUAGGGGGAUCAUCCGGCGUUCUCGCCGGUGCACUUCCCCUAGUUGAGGCCAGCAUCGGUUUUCGGAGGGGGAUAAAAGCUUCGGGAAUGUGACUCCCUCGGGAGUGUUAUAGCCCGUUGCAUAAUACCCUUCUGGGGACCGAGGUUCGCGCAUCUGCAAGGAUGCUGGCAUAAUGGUGAUCAACGACCCGUCUUGAAACACGGACCAAGGAGUCGAACAUUUAUGCGAGUGUUUGGGUGUCAAACCCUCACGCGUAAUGAAAGUGAACGGAGGUGAGAGCCCUUACGGGUGCAUCAUCGACCGAUCCUGAUGUCUUCGGAUGGAUUUGAGUAAGAGCAUAACUGUUCGGACCCGAAAGAUGGUGAACUAUGCGUGGAUAGGGUGAAGCCAGGAGAAAUCCUGGUGGAGGCUCGCAGCGGUUCUGACGUGCAAAUCGAUCGUCAAAUCUGCGCAUGGGGGCGAAAGACUAAUCGAACCAUCUAGUAGCUGGUUACCGCCGAAGUUCCCCC